Molecule: ribosomal RNA, 301 nt
Filed under: uncultured bacterium
Lineage: Bacteria
Description: partial 16S ribosomal RNA
Rfam family: Bacterial small subunit ribosomal RNA
Source: RNAcentral
CAGCAGCCGCGGUAAUACGAAGGGUGCAAGCGUUACUCGGAAUUACUGGGCGUAAAGCGUGCGUAGGUGGUGGUUUAAGUCCGUUGUGAAAGCCCUGGGCUCAACCUGGGAAUUGCAGUGGAUACUGGAUCACUAGAGUGUGGUAGAGGAUAGUGGAAUUUCCGGUGUAGCAGUGAAAUGCGUAGAGAUCGGAAGGAACAUCUGUGGCGAAGGCGGCUUACUGGCUCAUACUGGACGCUGAGGUGCGAAAGCGUGGGGAGCAAACAGGAUUAGAUACCCCCGUAGUCCCUGUCUCUUAUAC